Molecule: ribosomal RNA, 253 nt
Filed under: uncultured bacterium
Lineage: Bacteria
Description: partial 16S ribosomal RNA
Rfam family: Bacterial small subunit ribosomal RNA
Source: RNAcentral
UACAGAGGGUGCAAGCGUUGUUCGGAAUUACUGGGCGUAAAGCGUGCGUAGUCGGUAUUGAGAGUCGCGGGUGAAAUCCCAGGGCUUAACCCUGGAACUGCCUGCGAGACCUCAGUACUAGAGUGUGAGAGGGGAUAGUGGAAUACCCAGUGUAGCGGUGAAAUGCGUAGAUAUUGGGAAGAACACCGGUGGCGAAGGCGGCGACCUGGUCCAUUACUGACGCUGAGGCGCGACAGCGUGGGGAGCAAACAGG